RNAcentral lists this ribosomal RNA (200 nucleotides) under uncultured bacterium. RNAcentral's name for it is "partial 16S ribosomal RNA". It matches the Rfam family "Bacterial small subunit ribosomal RNA", at positions 30 to 231 of the family's 1533-position model. The record is from RNAcentral.
AUUGAACGCUGGCGGCAUGCCUUACACAUGCAAGUCGAACGGCAGCACGGGAGCAAUCCUGGUGGCGAGUGGCGAACGGGUGAGUAAUACAUCGGAACGUGCCCAGUAGUGGGGGAUAGCCCGGCGAAAGCCGGAUUAAUACCGCAUACGACCUACGGGUGAAAGCGGGGAUCGCAAGACCUCGCGCAAUUGGAGCGGCC